AACACGAGCGUAAUACAUUCAGGAAUCAUUAGGAGGUCAGCACAUUUGAUCAACAACCGAUAGAACAUUUAUUUUCCAUUCCCGAUUUCUUUUUAUCCUUUGUUACUAUAAGCCACGUUCAACAUCACACGAACCCUCCGUUCGUGAAUCCAAGCCCAACUCACUAACAGAGUUGCCAGCCGCACCGAUCAUCGAUUCUCAUAGGCGGACCAACGGUCGUAAUCAUUACGUCUACCGCCUAAACCCGUCGCAACUACGCAUAGCGUCUCUCGUUCGCAUCGUAGACCCAAUCCUCAUUUCCGGGCAAAAUUCUUAUU
Molecule: long non-coding RNA, 317 nt
Filed under: Ananas comosus (pineapple)
Lineage: Eukaryota; Viridiplantae; Streptophyta; Magnoliopsida; Poales; Bromeliaceae
Description: long non-coding RNA (ACOM_LNC039143)
Source: RNAcentral